ACUCAAAGGAAUAGACGGGGCCCCGCACAAGCAGCGGAGCGUGUGGUUUAAUUCGAUGCAACGCGAAGAACCUUACCUAGGCUUGACAUGGGCUUGUAAGGCCGAGAAAUCGGUCCCCCUUCGGGCAAGUUCACAGAUGUUGCAUGGCUGUCGUCAGCUCGUGUCGUGAGAUGUUGGGUUAAGUCCCGCAACGAGCGCAACCCUCGUGGCUAGUUGCAUUCUCUAGCCAGACCGCCUACUAAAUAGGAGGAAGGUGGGGAUGACGUCAAGUCCGCAUGGCUCUUACGUCUAGGGCUACACACACGCUACAAUGGCCGGUACAGAGCGCAGCCAAACCGCGAGGUGGAGCAAAUCGCCAAAACCGGUCCAAGUUCGGAUUGCAGGCUGCAACCCGCCUGCAUGAAGUCGGAGUUGCUAGUAACCGCGCGUCAGCACAGUGCGGUGAAUGAGUUCCCGGGGCUUGUACACACCGCCCGU
RNAcentral lists this ribosomal RNA (477 nucleotides) under uncultured bacterium. RNAcentral's name for it is "partial 16S ribosomal RNA". It matches the Rfam family "Bacterial small subunit ribosomal RNA", at positions 899 to 1397 of the family's 1533-position model. The record is from RNAcentral.